RNAcentral lists this long non-coding RNA (544 nucleotides) under Homo sapiens (human). Its description in RNAcentral is "non-protein coding lnc-LIN7A-4:1". Lineage: Eukaryota; Metazoa; Chordata; Mammalia; Primates; Hominidae. The record is from RNAcentral.
GCAUGACCGGUGGGUGACCCUGGAGUGAACCAUGGAGAUGGAGGUGGCACUGCUAAGCCAUGGUUUUCCAAAGGUAUGGCACUGUGCCUUCUGCCUUGCCCUAGUCUUCGUAAUCCUGCCACCUCUGCUUCAGAUAUACACCCUACCUUCUCUGUUGAAGCCCAUCCCACCUGGCAGUGAGCAGCACCUUCCCAGCCAGAGCAGAUUUUUCAGAACGUAAAAGAAGAUAAUCAUUACCAGCAGUGGAGACCAUUGUAAAUUGUUCUUAAUCAGAACAAAGUUAGUGCUUUGGAAAAUCAGCCUCACUCUGCAGUACUCACACCACCUAAUUUUUCAGGUCUCUCCUGGAUAAAGAAGGACCAGCUCAAAUUUCCUCUCUGACAAGUUGGGAUACUAUGUGUUUCUCAAAGGACCAAGAAGAUAAAAUUAGGGAGGUUUAUGAGCAAAUUCUCAACGUCAAACUAGCAGAGAAAUAUGAAUCGUUUGUGAAACUUACAUGUGAUCAGAUCAUACAGUCAAGUGGCAGAGGGCCAACCAGCAAUGU